GUGUUAAAGAAAGUGAUGACAGAUGGGGAUAUAUGGAUAUCACCUGGUCUGAUGCUUGAUUUCAAACACUGUGUUUUCUUUCUUCUGCUUCUUAAAAGAAUGUUUUUGUUAACGACUGCCUCAAUAAGAUUGCUUCUUAGCAAGGCAGUAUCGAUCAUUGUAUUUUUAUACUUUUUACACUACCCAGUUGGAGGGAUGAUAGUGUCAAUAAGAUUGUUCAUGCAUUGCAUCUAAGUGCAAUGCUUCAAUCACAAUGAAAAACAAUGGUAUUCUGCCUUCCAAAUUAAAUCCACUGAAUUUAGCUUUUACAGAUCAGUAUCUGACUCUUAUCAACAAGCUUACCUUGUACCAAAUUAUCUUCAUUUAAUUGCUGAUGAACCAUGUUAACCUCUUGCUACUAGCUAGACUGCAGUACAUCCCCAAGAAAAUUCCAUUUACCCAAGAUAUAUAUAUUCCAUGGGGCUCCAUCAUCAGUUUCCCCAGAGAAUCUUCCUAGUAUACCUAGCCAAGUUGGUCUUCAACUUUUCAUUCAAGUACUGAGUCAAUGUAUACAGCUGCACAGAACUUAAACAGUCAGUAGAACCAGCAAGCAAUAAUAUAUAUAGCUUAUGGACUAGGCAAAUCAAUAAGCUGUUAGUUUCUUUUAAACUGUUGCAGGUGUUGAUCAUUGUCUGCAGUAUAUAUACUUUUGCGAGGAUAACUACAUAAAUUAACA
Molecule: unclassified non-coding RNA, 715 nt
Filed under: Hevea brasiliensis (rubber tree)
Lineage: Eukaryota; Viridiplantae; Streptophyta; Magnoliopsida; Malpighiales; Euphorbiaceae
Source: RNAcentral